This 1000-nucleotide ribosomal RNA is filed under the name Vibrio alginolyticus. RNAcentral describes it as "bacterial SSU rRNA". It matches the Rfam family "Bacterial small subunit ribosomal RNA", at positions 457 to 1454 of the family's 1533-position model. Lineage: Bacteria; Pseudomonadati; Pseudomonadota; Gammaproteobacteria; Vibrionales; Vibrionaceae. The record is from RNAcentral.
AGCUGCAUUAUUUGAACGCUAGCGACAGAAGAAGCAACAGUCUUACUGCGUGCCAGCAGCCGUAGGUAAUACGGAGGGUGCGAGCAUUAAUCGGAAUUACUGGGCGUAUAGCGCAUGCAGGUGGUUUGUUAAGUCAGAUGUGAAAGCCCGGGGCUCAACCUCGGAAUUGCAUUUGAAACUGGCAGACUAGAGUACUGUAGAGGGGGGUAGAAUCUCAGGUGUAGCGGUGAAAUGCGUAGAGAUCUGAAGGAAUACCGGUGGCGAAGGCGGCCCCCUGGACAGAUACUGACACUCAGAUGCGAAAGCGUGGGGAGCAAACAGGAUUAGAUACCCUGGUAGUCCACGCCGUAAACGAUGUCUACUUGGAGGUUGUGGCCUUGAGCCGUGGCUUUCGGAGCUAACGCGUUAAGUAGACCGCCUGGGGAGUACGGUCGCAAGAUUAAAACUCAAAUGAAUUGACGGGGGCCCGCACAAGCGGUGGAGCAUGUGGUUUAAUUCGAUGCAACGCGAAGAACCUUACCUACUCUUGACAUCCAGAGAACUUUCCAGAGAUGGAUUGGUGCCUUCGGGAACUCUGAGACAGGUGCUGCAUGGCUGUCGUCAGCUCGUGUUGUGAAAUGUUGGGUUAAGUCCCGCAACGAGCGCAACCCUUAUCCUUGUUUGCCAGCGAGUAAUGUCGGGAACUCCAGGGAGACUGCCGGUGAUAAACCGGAGGAAGGUGGGGACGACGUCAAGUCAUCAUGGCCCUUACGAGUAGGGCUACACACGUGCUACAAUGGCGCAUACAGAGGGCGGCCAACUUGCGAAAGUGAGCGAAUCCCAAAAAGUGCGUCGUAGUCCGGAUUGGAGUCUGCAACUCGACUCCAUGAAGUCGGAAUCGCUAGUAAUCGUGGAUCAGAAUGCCAUGGUGAAUACGUUCCCGGGCCUUGUACACACCGCCCGUCACACCAUGGGAGUGGGCUGCAAAAGAAGUAGGUAGUUUAACCUUCGGGGAGACGCU